Molecule: long non-coding RNA, 936 nt
Organism: Asterias rubens (European starfish)
Lineage: Eukaryota; Metazoa; Echinodermata; Asteroidea; Forcipulatida; Asteriidae
Exons: 4
Source: RefSeq, a predicted model, not a curated record
CUCAAGUCUAGUUCAGUGUCUUGAGGAUGAGGAGUGUUUGGAGUCUGAAGCUGAAGCAGAUGAUGUCACUGUUGGAGCAUGAACUAAACCAAAGUAAUCAGUUAAUGUCAAUGCAUCAUACCAUCAGCGAGAAGAAGGAUGUGAACUACCGGACUGAUGAUGAAGUAUAUAACAAUUUGGUGGUGUGGAGACAAAGCUGCAUCGCACAAUUAAUGAGGUUGACAGAGAAACUGAUAGUAUCAAGAAUGAGAUAAAUCACCACACUGAGUAUGGUCAUCAGGGAACCAAGCAGGCUGUGGACUGUGGUGCCAGGGGUACUCAUUGGUUGCAACUCCGGCCAGAAGUCCAACGAGAUGGCUGAGAUUAUUGCUGCAGUUUAAGUGAGAGGAGAGCACCAGGGUUUGAGUCUCUAACUGGAAUCUGGAUGAAGCUGUUCAUGCAUCAACCAAUAACUGAGUUUGUGCUGCUGGAAUUGGAUUUGAAAUCUCAACAAUCUCAACUGAGGUCAAUGAUGCAGACAUCUCUGAUAUUACAGUAACAGUGAAGGCGUACCAUGGACCCCCAAAGUACUCCACAGCCAUCGCUCAGAAAACUACUGUAGCUGAGAAGGCCACUGCAGCAACAGGAUCCUAACUAUCUCAACCAAAGUUGAGGAUGCAGUCACCUCUGAUAUUACAGUAGCAGUGAAGCAAGUAACCAAUAACAAGGCAAACCAGACUUAAUGAAAUCAGCAUAAGAACUGUCAUUGUCACUGUGGGCGUCGGGGACCCGACUGUUGCAGCAAAGUCAAUAAUGUCAAGAUGUCUGUAUAAACAUUCUCAGGUUGGUCGCAAUUUAAACAAAGUUCAUUCAUUCAACAGUUUUCUUUUAUUUAACCCUGUUGGGUUUCUUUACCAGUUUGUUUGAAGUAGCGAUAACUUAUUGCUGUGCCGAAAU